Molecule: RNA transcript, 2481 nt
Organism: Populus euphratica (Euphrates poplar)
Lineage: Eukaryota; Viridiplantae; Streptophyta; Magnoliopsida; Malpighiales; Salicaceae
Gene name: WD repeat-containing protein WRAP73-like
Exons: 8
Source: RefSeq, a predicted model, not a curated record
UUACUUAACUGCAAAAUCUGUGCGGGUCUCCAACAGUCAAAACCAAAAUGACCUUUAAUUUUAAACUCCAAAGAUCCACACCGAUACUGUAGUUGCAUAGCGUUGCUCGAUCGCUAACCAAAAAAAUAAAAAUAAAAAAAAUGCUAAAAGGUUGACAGAUUUCAGAGCUUAGAUUGAUAGAUAGUUAGAUAGGUUAAACACACCGAAAGGUAAAAAUGGAGUUUACUGAAGCUUAUAAGCAGACGGGUCCUUGUUGUUUCUCUCCAAACUCCCGUUACAUCGCUGUUGCUGUCGAUUACCGUCUCGUGAUUCGUGACACGCUCUCUUUUAAGGUUGUGCAGUUGUUUUCAUGCUUGGAUAAGAUAAACUAUAUAGAAUGGGCAAAUGAUUCUGAGUACAUCCUUUGCGGUCUGAAUAAAAGACCGAUGAUACAAGCAUGGUCAUUGACUCAACCUGAGUGGACAUGCAAAAUAGAUGAAGGUCCUGCUGGUAUUGCAUAUUCUAGAUGGAGUCCUGACAGCCGGCAUAUACUUGCCACUUCAGAUUUUCAGUUGAGGCUAACAGUUUGGUCACUUCUGAACACAGCAUGUGUUCACGUCCAGGGGCCAAAGCAUUGCUCUAAAGGGGUUUCUUUCACUAAAGAUGGGAAAUAUGCUGCGAUUUGUACGAGGCGUGAUUGCAAGGAUUAUGUAAAUCUACUGUCAUGUCAUACAUGGGAAAUAAUGGGUGUGUUUGCUGUUGAUACAUUGGACUUAGCUGAUAUAGAGUGGUCGCCAGAUGAUAGUGCUAUAGUAAUAUGGGAUGCACCACUUGAAUUCAAGGUUCUAAUUUACUCCCCAGAUGGGAGAUGCCUAUCCAAGUAUCAAGCAUAUGAAAGUGGACUGGGUGUAAAAAGUGUUUCGUGGUCGCCUUGUGGCCAAUAUCUAGCUGUGGGUAGUUAUGAUCAGAUGUUGCGAGUUUUGAAUCACUUAACUUGGAAAACAUUUGCUGAAUUCAUGCACCUAUCCACUGUCCGUGGUCCUUGUUGUGCUGCUGUUUUCAAGGAGGUAGACGAGCCAUUGCACCUCAAUAUGUCUGAGUUAUGCUUGAGUGAAGAGUUUCUCCAAGGAAAUUCUGAUGUUUCAGGAGGACACUUCCGAGUCAUGUAUGAUGUUACUGAAGUACCUAUUAGCUUGCCUUUCCAGAAGCCUCUUGCAGACAAACCAAAUCCUAAACAAGGCAUUGGUCUUAUGCAUUGGAGUAAAGACAGCCGAUACAUUUAUACACGUAAUGAUAGCAUGCCCACUGCUCUGUGGAUAUGGGAUAUACACCAUCUAGAGCUCGCUGCCAUCUUGGUGCAGAAGGAUCCCAUACGAGCAGCAGCAUGGGACCCAACAUGCACACGUCUUGUUCUCUGUACUGGCAGCUCUCACUUGUAUAUGUGGACCCCAUCAGGUGCUUACUGCGUGAGUAAUCCUCUACCACAGUUUAACAUAACUGAUUUGAAAUGGAAUUCAGAUGGAAGUUGCCUCCUCCUCAAAGACAAGGAGUCGUUCUGCUGUGCGUCUGUGCCCUUAUUUCCCGAAUCUAGUGAAUAUAGUUCAGAUGACUGAGGCAUGUCUCCAUUUUUUAAUCCAGGUGGCUUGCAAACUUAACAAAAAAAAACUAUACUACAAAAACAGGGCAUCAGUGUUUAACCAAAUAUUUCGAUUCUCCUUAUCUCUGUAAAAAGUUUUUGUAGGGUUCCCAAUUGUAGUAGAGAAAUUAGCUGACAAGUUUUUUAGUUGGAAAUGAGCUGUUCUGUUAAAGAAGAAAGUUUUUAAAUCGUCAGAAGUGAAAAACUUGAAGAACCAUUACUCGAUUUCCGAAAGAGGAUACUCGCGACACAGGUUUGGCCGGUCUCGGGGUGUGUGUGUGUCAAGACAAUGGCAAAACGAAUGAAACUAUGCCGAACGACAUUUAUCCCGUGUCGAGACAAAUCAAUAACGGAAGUCAAAUUUAUACUAACAUUUGUCUGAGUUUCAUGGAAUCAGCUAUCCCUUGGCGAAGCUGCAAGUAAACUGUGAUAGAAACAAAGCAAGCAUGUACCGACUGCAUGCAAUAAACCCUACCAUACACUGCAUUUUUUUAUGAUGUAUCACAGCUUUGUAAUUAGAAAGUUCUCGAGUUUUGAUACCACCAAACAUUACAAGCUGACUAAAACUUCCCAGUGGUUUUUUAUUUUGGGUUCUCUGUGUCACUAUCUUCGUUUCAAGUUCAUUGAGAGACGUCAAGAAAUGGAUUCUCUCGUAAAUGCCCUGUCUGCAAACGGCAAGCUGGCUUGCGAAUUGUAAAUGCAGGAUGCAAAGAGUUUAGCCAUAUCUUAGACGAUACUUAACUGCAUGUGACAAAAGUAAUCUGCUACUGAACCGAUGCUUUCGGCUUCUUGACCUGAAGUGUUUUUAUCAGUAAUAGAAAUUAAAAGAAUCCACUGGCCGCAUGCAUCAAUGCCCUCAUUUUCAA